AGCUCUGUAAAAUCCUAGGGAAGUAGUAGCCAGCAGAGGGUAUUCAUUCAAGACCAAGCAGCAGAGAAGCACUCUGGUAUUCCCUGAAGACACAGCAGAAACAAGUGGAAAUGUCAGGUAGAUGGGAAAGGCCUAAUCCAGAACCCUCUGGAGCCAGCGAUGAGCUCUGAACCAGCUUACUGAGCCAGCAUGCUUAGGCACCCUUGAUAUACAUCGUAGUCGUGGAUGGCUGUGUACAGUAGCACACUUAGUAUUACAUCUGUAAAAGAAGUCAGUCACCUAUAAUCGACUGCCUGGUGCAAGAAGAAAUCAAUCAGUUCGCUUUCUAUGCUACAUGCCUCUCCUAAGGAGGAGCUCCAAAUUACUGCAUGGAUAAAUCAGCAAAAGACAUCCCUCACGAAUAAAAACCACAUGGAGCACUCUACAACAGACCACAAAAUGGGUUUGGCACCUGUGUCUCCUCCGAGCCGAAGUUUCCGAGUUGUGUUAUCACGUGGCCUGCUGACCCCGGGAGAGCAACGCUGACCUUGUCUUACACACAGAAGUCUAUUGCUAUGACUCCCCUGAGAGCACAAACCAGCUGCAAACUGCUGCAAUGAUUAA
Long non-coding RNA from Pogoniulus pusillus (Red-fronted tinkerbird), 603 nucleotides. RefSeq lists it as uncharacterized. The record is from RefSeq and is a predicted model, not a curated record. The transcript has 3 exons. Lineage: Eukaryota; Metazoa; Chordata; Aves; Piciformes; Lybiidae.